AACUUUCGACAACGGAUCUCUUGGCUCUGGCAUCGAUGAAGAACGCAGCGAAAUGCGAUACGUAGUGUGAAUUGCAGAAUUCAGUGAACCAUCGAAUCUUUGAACGCACCUUGCGGCCGCCGGGAAUCCGGCGGCCAUGCCCGUCCGAGCGUCGUUUCGACCCUCGGGGCCCCCCUUCCCGCUCGCGGGCUGGGGUCGCCCCGGCAUUGGGCUAGCGCAGAUUCGCCCUCCGGGGCGCCGCGCGGCCCGCAGUCCAGCGGCGGCAGCACCGGCGAACACCCCUGCGCAGUAUCAACGCUCGCAUCGGCCUCCCGGCGCAGCCCGCCUCGAAACCCCUUAUUAUUUAUGUCGACCUCGGAUCGGGUAGGGAUACCCGCUAAACUUAAGCAUAUCAAUAAGCGGAGGCU
Molecule: unclassified non-coding RNA, 407 nt
Filed under: uncultured Sordariomycetes
Lineage: Eukaryota; Fungi; Ascomycota; Sordariomycetes
Description: sequence contains ITS2
Rfam family: 5.8S ribosomal RNA (bases 1-154)
Source: RNAcentral